This is a small nucleolar RNA of Lathyrus oleraceus (garden pea), 107 nucleotides long. The record is from RefSeq and is a predicted model, not a curated record. NCBI's taxonomy places the organism in Eukaryota, Viridiplantae, Streptophyta, Magnoliopsida, Fabales, Fabaceae.
AUUCCAUGAUGAGUGAAUUAUCUUAGUAACUUCUUAAAUCUUUCUCAAGCAUCACACAAUAAUUCGUCCUCUCCUUGUUUAAAUGAGGUGAUGUCAUUCCUUAGUUU